RNAcentral lists this ribosomal RNA (785 nucleotides) under uncultured prokaryote. Its description in RNAcentral is "bacterial SSU rRNA". It matches the Rfam family "Bacterial small subunit ribosomal RNA", at positions 683 to 1482 of the family's 1533-position model. The record is from RNAcentral.
GAAAUGCUUAGAUAUCACGANGAACUCCGAUUGCGAAGGCAGCUUGCUGGACUNNAACUGACGCUGAGGCACGAAAGCGUGGGGAUCAAACAGGAUUAGAUACCCUGGUAGNCCACGCCGUAAACGAUGAAUGCUAGCUGUUAGCGAUAUACUGUUAGCGGCACAGAGAAAUCGUUAAGCAUUCCACCUGGGGAGUACGCCGGCAACGGUGAAACUCAAAGGAAUUGACGGGGGCCCGCACAAGCGGAGGAACAUGUGGUUUAAUUCGAUGAUACGCGAGGAACCUUACCUGGGCUUAAAUUGCAGUGGAAUAACGUGGAAACAUGUUAGCCUUCGGGCCGCUGUGAAGGUGCUGCAUGGUUGUCGUCAGCUCGUGCCGUGAGGUGUCGGCUUAAGUGCCAUAACGAGCGCAACCCUCAUCGAUAGUUACUAACAGGUUAAGCUGAGGACUCUAUCGAGACUGCCGACGUAAGUCGUGAGGAAGGUGGGGAUGACGUCAAAUCAGCACGGCCCUUACGUCCAGGGCUACACACGUGUUACAAUGGGGGGUACAAAGGGCAGCUACCUGGCGACAGGAUGCUAAUCUCAAAAACCUCUCUCAGUUCGGAUUGGAGUCUGCAACCCGACUCCAUGAAGCUGGAUUCGCUAGUAAUCGCGCAUCAGCCACGGCGCGGUGAAUACGUUCCCGGGCCUUGUACACACCGCCCGUCAAGCCAUGGGAGCCGGGGGGACCUGAAGUAUGCAACCGUAAGGAGCGUCCUAGGGUAAAACUGGUGACUGGGGCU